UACGAAGGGGGCUAGCGUUGCUCGGAAUCACUGGGCGUAAAGGGCGCGUAGGCGGCUUAUCAAGUCGGGGGUGAAAGCCCGUGGCUCAACCACGGAAUGGCCUUCGAUACUGGUAGGCUUGAGACCGGAAGAGGACAGCGGAACUGCGAGUGUAGAGGUGAAAUGCGUAGAGAUCAGGAAGAAUACCCGUGGCGCAAGCGCCCACCUGGCCGAGACCUGACGCUAAGGCACGAAAGCGUGGGGAGCGAACCGG
This 253-nucleotide ribosomal RNA is filed under the name uncultured bacterium. Its description in RNAcentral is "partial 16S ribosomal RNA". It matches the Rfam family "Bacterial small subunit ribosomal RNA", at positions 524 to 776 of the family's 1533-position model. The record is from RNAcentral.